CAAAAGUAGAGGCUUCACCACCGGAAAAUCUGAAAGUCUUGUACGUUUCCCCCAAACGAAGAUGAUGAUGCUCAACUCCGAUGAAGAUGGUAAUAAUUUCUCUUGUUUUUCUCCCCUUUCUUAUCAUUUAGAAUUUCCUUAUUUCCCUUCUGUAUUAUUGAGCAAAGCUUCUCAUUUGCUUCCAAAGUUGGGCAUGAGAUGUUGAAAAGUAAUAUAUGGCAUGAAAGAAUAAAAAAUAAAGAGAUUGGUAUGUUAUUCUUUAUUUCAAGCCACAGAUUUAGGAUAAAUACUUUUAUGUUUAGAUGUUUUCAAGUCUAAUUCUACAUCUAACGUGAAAUAUCAAGACUACUAAAUGGCUUAGAUGCUUGGGUGUACUUAAAAAAAGAAAGGAUUCCACCUUACAGUUGAAACAAUUUUUCUUAGGCCAUUAUAUGUGGAACUCACCGAUUUAUAUGCAGAAUCAAUGCGACAUUUUACCAAAGUGCUCUUUAUAGUUCAAGCUUUUAAUAUAAAUGUCCAAGAUUAAUUGGUAAGGUUUCAGAAAUUUUAUGUUAAUACUGAAUUUGUGUAAGGUUUUCAACAUCCAUAUUAGUUUGAUCUAGUCAAGGCUAACUAGAGACCAGUUAGAGCUACAGAUGGAUGACAUGUUUUCUUUGGCUUAUUUGUUAUUCUGUAAUUUGUUCAAACUCACAUUUUAUUUUGACGUACUUAUUACAUUUUAAUUUGUUUGCUGGACAUGGCAUUUGAUUGUGUUGCAGCAGAAGGUUUUGUGGAAGACACGCGAUGAAUUUUUGUGGAUAGAGAUGUCGAUGAGAAAUUUGCGAGUAAUAUGAUAUCAGCAGAAAAGGAAACGCUAGAAGAAGAUGAUGCGAUGGUGCCUAAGAUGUCAGAGGUGGGUAUGAUGUUCAACGAUGAAAAAGAAUUGUGAAAUUUCUACAAAAGGUAUGCAUAUCAUAUCGAUUUUUCAGUUAGAAGAAGGAACUCGAAAAAGGGAGAUGACGGAAAAAUGAAAUAUGUAACUUUAACAUGUGGCCGUGAAGGUCGAAGGUCUACCAGCACCAGUGGUUCUUCAAAGCCCCAACCAACUACUCAGACAGAUUGUAAAGCUAGUCACUGCAUCUGCAGAUAUUUAUGGAAUCUGGAGAAUAAAAACAGUCUACCUCGCUACAACCAUAAACAAGUCCUUCGAAGUCGAGGUUGUAUGAUUGCAAUCGAGAAUUACGUUCACAUGUGAAACGGAAGCUUGAAGUGAAUGAUAUGACUGGAAUUCCUUUGCACAAGAGUUUUAAUUCUACAAUGGUUGAAGCAGGUGAAUAUGAGUAUCUGACUUAUGUGGAAAAGGAUUGUCAAAAUUAUAUUGAACAAGUGCGACAACUAAGACUUGGUGAAGGAGAUGUCGUAGCAAUACAGUCGUGCUUUUCUAGGAUGCAAGCUUAGUGCUCCGAAUUCUACUUUAGUAUGGACUUAAAGGAUGAUUCCAGACUGAAAAAUGUAUUUUGGACAGAUAAUAGGUUAGGCAAGCUUACAAGGAAUUCGACGAUAUUGUAACAUUUGAUACCACUUAUCUAAUCAACAAGUAUGACAUGCAUUUCGCCCCUUUUGUUGGUGUUAAUCAUCAUGGACAGUCAACAUUGAUCGGUUGUGGUUUGUUGCCCACUGAGGAAACAAAUACUUUUGUGUGGCUAUUUAGGACAUAGCUUCAGUGUAUACACGGAAAAGCUCCCCAUGAAAUCAUUACUGAUCGAGAUAGGGCUAUGCAAAAUACAGUUCAAAUUGUUUUUCUAAUACGAAGUAUAGAUGGUGUUUGUGGCAUAUUCUGAAGAAGUUGCCCGAAAAGUUUGAAUACCACGUCGAUAAGGCUUCCAUUUUUUUUACUGUACAUGCAUUGGUGUAUGAUUCACAGUUCAUGGAAGAAUUUGAAAAAGGUUGUGGGGCGAUGAUUGACACAUACGGGUUGCACAAUAAUGAGUGGUUGUCGGGACUAUUUGAUAAUAGAGGUCGUUGGGCUCCUUGCUACCUGAAAACUACAUUUUGGACAGAGAUGUCGACAACUCAGCAAAGUGAGAGUAUGAAUGCAUUCUUCGAUGGGUAUAUUCAUUCGAAGACCUCGUUGAAGCAAUUUGUCGAACAGUAUGAAUGGGCACUGAAGAAUAAGGUAGAGAAGGAGUUUCAGGCCGACUUCAAGUCAUACUCCCAAAUGGUACCAUGCACGACAAUGUUUGAAAUGGAGAAUCAAUAUCAAAACUAUUACACCAUUUCGAAGUUCAAGAAAGUUCAAGUUGAGCUUACAGAGAAGGCUUAUUGUGACCUCAUUUCCACUACGGAGGGCACUUCAUGCAUGAUCUAUAAAAUACGGGAGGUUAUAAUGGUUAAUGACAGACGGAAGAUGAGAAUUUCUUUUGUCUCAUUUCAACAAGAUAAUUGCAAAAUUAUUUGUAGUUGUCAUUUGUUUAAGUUUCGAGAAAUUCUGUGCUGUCAUGUUAUCGUAGUCCUAUUCCGUAAUGAUAUCAUGUCUCUGCCAGAUAGGUUUAUACUACGAAGAUGGAGGAGAGACGUUUGUAGAGCACACACCAGGGUUGCAGUGAACUAUGCCAGUUGGUACGUAUGCCUGAACAGUUGAGAUACGACAAUAUGUGUCAGGCUUUUAUCGAGGUUACAAACCUUGCGACUGAUGAUAAGGGGCGCUGCUAUGCGAUCAAGGAGUGGAUAACUUAUCAAAAGCAAGAGUUGAUAACAAUAAAGUCAGGCUCUGGAAGUAAUCGGGCUUCACAUUAAGCUAUUUAGUUAUCCUCACGGUGUAAUGAAUUUAAAAACAAUGCCAUACAAGAUCCUAUAUUAGCGAGAAGAAAGGGCAUGCCUAAGAAACUUCGGAGAAAAGGCCCCUUGGAGACAUCUUCAAAGAAGGCAAAGGUAUCAUUAUCACGAUUUUUGUCGACUUAAAUAGUAUUUCAUUAUAAUUAGUUUAUAACAUGAACCAUAUCUGCAGGCUACGUCAACUUCGGCCAGAGGAAAGAGACCAACGUCCAAGCACAGUGAUACGCCAUCUACACCCGUCAUCCAAGCAUCUCAACAGUAUUCUAUGCAAACACCGUUUUCGUAUUCACAACUAUUGUUGGUUAGUAUACUUAGUUUAUUAUAAUGAUUUGUUCGAAACUUUAAUUGCAUUUUUAUACGAUGUAGGUGAUGCAAAAAGCCCUACCUUCCCGCAACACUGGCUAGCCUCAAGUUUCGUUCCCCUCAACAUCAACAAAUGUCAUAUUCAAUGAUCUAGGUUUGCACACGUUUAAAUCUCUACAUUUGCAUUAGUGCACAUUUUAUGCAUGUACUUACGACAGGUCGUUCGGUUCCAUACAACUAUCCACAUUUCCCACAAGAAGGUGGUCCAGGCAUAUGAACUACUGAUGAAGAAUUUUUGGACUUUUGUUAUUUGUCCUUUGUUGUCUAUCAUUUUAGGAUUUUUGGGACAUGUUUUUUACUUCACGAAGUAAAAAAAAUUGCCUAAAAGUGAAAUGUUUCUAUUUUAGUUUGUAGGGAUAAUUCUGUAAAUUGUCUUAGUCCAUUUCCACUAGGAAGGAAGGGUGCAUUCUUGACCUCAUUAGUUAUUCAUUUCUCGACUACGACUGUACUAUGAUUGAUACUCAAG
RNAcentral lists this long non-coding RNA (3643 nucleotides) under Olea europaea subsp. europaea. The record is from RNAcentral. Lineage: Eukaryota; Viridiplantae; Streptophyta; Magnoliopsida; Lamiales; Oleaceae.